UGGCUCAGAAUGAACGCUGGCGGUAUGCUUAACACAUGCAAGUCGAACGGGAUGCUUAGGCAUCUAGUGGCGGACGGGUGAGUAACGCGUGAGAAUCUGGCUCCAGGUCGGGGAUAACAGUUGGAAACGACUGCUAAUACCGGAUGUGCCGAGAGGUGAAAGAUUUAUUGCCUGGAGAUGAGCUCGCGUCUGAUUAGCUAGUUGGUGGUGUAAGGGACCACCAAGGCAUCGAUCAGUAGCUGGUCUGAGAGGAUGAUCAGCCACACUGGGACUGAGACACGGCCCAGACUCCUACGGGAGGCAGCAGUGGGGAAUUUUCCGCAAUGGGCGAAAGCCUGACGGAGCAAUACCGCGUGAGGGAGGAAGGCUCUUGGGUCGUAAACCUCUUUUCUCAAGGAAGAAGAAAGUGACGGUACUUGAGGAAUAAGCAUCGGCUAACUCCGUGCCAGCAGCCGCGGUAAUACGGAGGAUGCAAGCGUUAUCCGGAAUGAUUGGGCGUAAAGGGUCUGCAGGUGGAACUGAAAGUCUGCUGUUAAAGAGUUUGGCUUAACCAAAUAAAAGCGGUGGAAACUACAGAACUAGAGUGCGGUAGGGGCAAAAGGAAUUCCUGGUGUAGCGGUGAAAUGCGUAGAUAUCAGGAAGAACACCGGUGGCGAAAGCGUUUUGCUAGACCGUAACUGACACUGAGGGACGAAAGCUAGGGGAGCGAAUGGGAUUAGAUACCCCAGUAGUCCUAGCCGUAAACGAUGGAUACUAGGCGUGGCUUGUAUCGACCCGAGCCGUGCCGGAGCUAACGCGUUAAGUAUCCCGCCUGGGGAGUACGCACGCAAGUGUGAAACUCAAAGGAAUUGACGGGGGCCCGCACAAGCGGUGGAGUAUGUGGUUUAAUUCGAUGCAACGCGAAGAACCUUACCAAGACUUGACAUCCUGCGAAUCCUGGUGAAAGCUGGGAGUGCCUUAGGGAGCGCAGAGACAGGUGGUGCAUGGCUGUCGUCAGCUCGUGUCGUGAGAUGUUGGGUUAAGUCCCGCAACGAGCGCAACCCUCGUUUUUAGUUGCCAGCAUUAAGUUGGGCACUCUAGAGAGACUGCCGGUGACAAACCGGAGGAAGGUGAGGAUGACGUCAAGUCAGCAUGCCCCUUACGUCUUGGGCUACACACGUACUACAAUGCUACGGACAGAGGGCAGCGAGCCAGGGAUGGCAAGCGAAUCCAGAAACCGUAGCUCAGUUCAGAUCGAAGGCUGCAACUCGCCUUCGUGAAGGAGGAAUCGCUAGUAAUUGCAGGUCAGCAUACUGCAGUGAAUUCGUUCCCGGGCCUUGUACACACCGCCCGUCACACCAUGGAAGUUGGUCACGCCCGAAGUCAUUACCCCAACCGAAAGGAGGGGGAUGCCUAAGGUAGGACUGG
This 1407-nucleotide ribosomal RNA is filed under the name Cylindrospermopsis raciborskii. Its description in RNAcentral is "16S ribosomal RNA". It matches the Rfam family "Bacterial small subunit ribosomal RNA". Lineage: Bacteria; Bacillati; Cyanobacteriota; Cyanophyceae; Nostocales; Aphanizomenonaceae. The record is from RNAcentral.